AACGGCGAGUGAAGCGGCAAAAGCUCAAAUUUGAAAUCUGGCCUCUUCGAGGCCCGAGUUGUAAUUUGUAGAGGAUGCUUCGGGUGUGGCCGCGGUCUAAGUCCCCUGGAACGGGGCGUCGCAGAGGGUGAGAAUCCCGUCUUCGGCCGGCCGGCUGCGCCCGUGUGAAGCUCCUUCGACGAGUCGAGUUGUUUGGGAAUGCAGCUCUAAAUGGGUGGUAAAUUUCAUCUAAAGCUAAAUACUGGUCGGAGACCGAUAGCGCACAAGUAGAGUGAUCGAAAGAUGAAAAGCACUUUGAAAAGAGAGUUAAACAGCAUGUGAAAUUGUUGAAAGGGAAGCGCUUGCGACCAGAGUCGGCCGCGGGGGUUCAGCGGGCAUUCGUUGCCCGUGCACUCCCCCGGGGCCGGGCCAGCGUCGGUUUCGACGGCCGGUCAAAGGCCCCCGGAAUGUGUCGCCUCUCGGGGCGUCUUAUAGCCGGGGGUGCAAUGCGGCCAGUCGGGACCGAGGAACGCGCUUCGGCACGGACGCUGGCUUAAUGGUCGUAAGCGACCCGUCUUGAAACACGGACCAAGGAGUCUAACAUCCACGCGAGUGUUCGGGUGUCAAACCCGUCCGCGCAGUGAAAGCGAACGGAGGUGGGAACCCUCAAGGGUGCACCAUCGACCGAUCCUGAAGUCUUCGGAUGGAUUUGAGUAAGAGCGUGGCUGUUGGGACCCGAAAGAUGGUGAACUAUGCCUGAAUAGGGUGAAGCCAGAGGAAACUCUGGUGGAGGCUCGCAGCGGUUCUGACGUGCAAAUCGAUCGUCAAAUUU
This 811-nucleotide ribosomal RNA is filed under the name Emergomyces africanus. Its description in RNAcentral is "eukaryotic LSU rRNA". It matches the Rfam family "Eukaryotic large subunit ribosomal RNA", at positions 85 to 912 of the family's 3401-position model. Lineage: Eukaryota; Fungi; Ascomycota; Eurotiomycetes; Onygenales; Ajellomycetaceae. The record is from RNAcentral.